RNAcentral lists this ribosomal RNA (253 nucleotides) under uncultured bacterium. Its description in RNAcentral is "partial 16S ribosomal RNA". It matches the Rfam family "Bacterial small subunit ribosomal RNA", at positions 524 to 776 of the family's 1533-position model. The record is from RNAcentral.
UACGUAGGGGGCAAGCGUUGUCCGGAUUUAUUGGGCGUAAAGAGCGUGUAGGCGGCCAGGUAGGUCGGUUGUGAAAACUGGAGGCUCAACCUUCAGAGGUCGACCGAAACCAUCUGGCUAGAGUCCGGGAGAGGAGAGUGGAAUUCCUGGUGUAGCGGUGGAAUGCGCAGAUAUCAGGAGGAACACCAAUAGCGAAGGCAGCUCGCUGGGACGUUACUGACACUGAGGCGCGAAAGCGUGGGGAGCGAACAGG